This 1059-nucleotide long non-coding RNA is filed under the name Homo sapiens (human). RNAcentral describes it as "non-protein coding lnc-RBBP6-4:1". Lineage: Eukaryota; Metazoa; Chordata; Mammalia; Primates; Hominidae. The record is from RNAcentral.
GUUGGAGGCGGCAUGUGACUCCCAGGGCUACGUGGGUUCAAAAACAAUUUAAUACAAAAACACAAGCAGGUUCCCCUCCUCUCCUUUGCCUUUGGUCUGGCUCUCCCCAUCGCUGGGUUCAGUGCCUGACUGAAUGGAAAACCCGUCGUCUUGCAGCCACUAACCUGUGAGCGCCGGGUACCUGGAGACCAGGCCCCUCUGCUGGGGGCCCCCAGGAGCGGUGCCCCAUCAUUUUGCAGCCCACUGACUCCCAGCCUGGUGUGAAAACUGAGGCCCGGAGAGGUGAUGUGAUUUGCCUAAAGUCAUGCAACUAGUGGCAGAGCCAGGCCUAGACGCCAGGUGUCCUGGCUCUCAAGACAUUCCGCUGCCCGAGGAAUGGAACAGGUAGUAUCACUCACACUGGGGGCCAUGGGUCAGUCCAUUCAGCCCAGAGCUGCCUGAGGUUCCAACUAAGGAAACCAGAGGAAACAUCCACUCAAAAUUCUGACAAGUUGAACGGGGUUGAAAUCAGAACUGGGCAAGAGAAAGGGGGCAAGGUUUGAAACUCAGACCUCACGAUCCUGGGACAGAGGCCAAUGUACCAUCACCCCACGUCACCUUCUGAAGGUGGAUUGAGCUCUGGCCCUAUCAUGUCCAUCUCUAAACAGCUUGGUGGUGAGUCCUCUUCCAGCCAUUCUGCGACCCAUGCUCUUUCUGAUAUGAUUCACAGUGUUAGGAAAAUCAAUGGCCACUUGCAGAGGAUGUGUGGGAGGAUGGAGAAGAAGGGACACGGGGAGACCAGUUAGGAGGCCUUUGGAGAGAUCCAGGAGGAAAAUGAAGAGGAAGAGCUGGUAGGAGGGGUCUGCUGGAUCCGUAUGGCAUCACCUGGGUUAGUGGUUGGUAAAGUUGGUCAGCAGUGAUGGUGGAAAAGCUAGAGUAGAAAUGAAAUCUGCAUCAAAGUGGGAAGGAAAAGAGUUUCUGCUUUUAUAUAUGUCUACUUGCUAUUUCUACUGAAGGAUGUUCUUAAGCCCAGUAUUGAUAAAACAAAAUCUACCUUUGGUACUACAAGUAAGAUAUACC